ACUGUAUUUGUCGUUUGGAGCUGACAGCAAAAAUUGUUUGUGGCCCGAAAAUUAAUGUAACCGUUAAAAGCAUCCUCGAUCGCCGAAGACGGCCACGCAACUGAAUUGAAAUGAUAAUUCAAAUUGGUUCACGCAGCCAUCCGUUCAGAACCAAGUAUGACUAUAUGUAUGUAUGUAGCUAUAAAAAUUAAUAUAUAGCCGGCUUCAUCUGCCUUGGCUUAUCGCUUGCCAUUUGUUUGUUACCAAUGGAAAUUAGAUUGUGAUUUUAAUCGAUUUGACAGUUGUUCUAUUAAUUCAUUCAG
Molecule: long non-coding RNA, 302 nt
Organism: Ceratitis capitata (Mediterranean fruit fly)
Lineage: Eukaryota; Metazoa; Arthropoda; Insecta; Diptera; Tephritidae
Exons: 3
Source: RefSeq, a predicted model, not a curated record